Molecule: ribosomal RNA, 708 nt
Filed under: uncultured fungus
Lineage: Eukaryota; Fungi
Description: SSU rRNA
Rfam family: Eukaryotic small subunit ribosomal RNA
Source: RNAcentral
GAGGUCUUUGGUGAUUCAUAGUAACUUUUCGAAUCGCAUGGUUUACGUCGGCGAUGGUUCAUUCAAAUUUCUGCCCUAUCAAGUUUCGAUGGUAGGAUAGAGGCCUACCAUGCUUUUUACGGGUAACGGCGAAUUAGGGUUCGAUUCCGGAGAGGGAGCCUGAGAAACGGCUACCACAUCUAAGGAAGGCAGCAGGCGCGCAAAUUACCCAAUCCUGAUUCAGGGAGGUAGUGACAAUAAAUAACAAUCCAGGACUUCGGUCUUGGAAUUGGAAUGAGAACAAUUUAAAUCUCUUAUCGAGGAACAAUUGGAGGGCAAGUCUGGUGCCAGCAGCCGCGGUAAUUCCAGCUCCAAUAGCGUAUAUUAAAGUUGUUGCAGUUAAAUAGCUCGUAGUUGAAUCUUGGGGCUGGUUUGGCGGUCGCGUCUUUGACGUGUACUGUCGGCCGGUUCUUUUACUUGUGGGGAACGUAUGUGCCCUUUGCGGGGUGUGUACGGGAACCAUGGCUGUUACUUUGAAAAAAUUAGAGUGUUUAAAGCGGGCGUAAGCUUGUAUACAUUAGCAUGGAAUAAUAGAAUAGGACUUUGGUUUAUUUUGGUGGGUUCUAGGGCCGAAGGUAAUGAUUAAUAGGGAAUAGUUGGGGGGCAUUAAGUAUUUAAUAGUCAGAGGUGAAAAUUCUUGGGAUUUAUGAAAGAUAAUUUCUGGGAAAA